UACGUAGGGUGCGAGCGUUGUCCGGAAUUACUGGGCGUAAAGAGCUCGUAGGCGGUUUGUCACGUCGUCUGUGAAAUCCUAGGGCUUAACCCUGGACGUGCAGGCGAUACGGGCUGACUUGAGUACUACAGGGGAGACUGGAAUUUCUGGUGUAGCGGUGGAAUGCACAGAUAUCAGGAAGAACACCGAUGGCGAAGGCAGGUCUCUGGGUAGUAACUGACGCUGAGGAGCGAAAGCAUGGGUAGCGAACAGGAUUAGAAACCCCGGUAGUCC
RNAcentral lists this ribosomal RNA (273 nucleotides) under uncultured Dietzia sp. RNAcentral describes it as "partial 16S ribosomal RNA". It matches the Rfam family "Bacterial small subunit ribosomal RNA", at positions 524 to 796 of the family's 1533-position model. Lineage: Bacteria; Bacillati; Actinomycetota; Actinomycetes; Mycobacteriales; Dietziaceae. The record is from RNAcentral.